Molecule: long non-coding RNA, 4502 nt
Filed under: Theobroma cacao (cacao)
Lineage: Eukaryota; Viridiplantae; Streptophyta; Magnoliopsida; Malvales; Malvaceae
Description: long non-coding RNA (TCAC_LNC000916)
Source: RNAcentral
AAGAAAGAAAAGAAGAACAAAAACCCUAGGUGGAAAAAUUCAAGGGAAAAGUGUGAAAAUUCAAGAAAACAAGUGACAAAAGGUAAGAUUUUUCAAUUCUAGCUUGUGAUUUACCUUUCCUAUGCAUUCUUUUUCAUUUUCCAUGGUUGAGAAUCAAGAUUUCAUGAUGAAUCCCUUGCUGGCCGGACAUGGGGGGAAGAGUUUUGAUGCUUGAUUUGGUUAGAUUUUAAGAUAUUUUAGUGUUUUUAGUUAGUUAGUAAUGUGUAGCAUGAAAAUCAAGCAAGAAAAAUUCAUUUUCUUCCAUUACCCAUCAUUGGCUGAAUUUUCCAUGUAAAGUGUCACGACCCAAAUUUCGGGCCAUGACUGUGCAAAGGCCCAAUGGACGUAGUCUACUAAGCCCAAGCAAGCCUAUCUAUUUAUCCUACUCAUCAUUCCAUCAAAUAUUGCUAAGUCACAUUUUAUAACUUUAAAUCAAAAUAGUGAUAGACAUUGCCAACUCGUACUAGCAUUACUCAUUUAAAAUAUACAUACAUUAUCUACAACAUGUAUUCUAGUAAUUUACAUUAAGUUGUCUAUACAUAUCAAAAGGAGACUCGAUGUCCAGCGGAGGGACUCGGACGAAUGUACAACUACUGAAUGUCGAGACACCUACCAAAAGAUGGAUACAAGUCUACAAGGACACCUCGUCCUAGUUACCGGCUGCCUCGUGAUCUGAAAACAUGAAGUAGAAAACGGUGAGUAUAAACCCAGUGAGUGAACAAGGAAAGAAACAAGCAACCAUAAGAGAGAAUUUAAAAUCAUGAUGCACUUGUUUUAAAAUAAUGCAAUUUAAUUUCAUUCAUAUUGAAAACCCCUCAUUAAACCCUCAAAAUAAUUAAUCACUUGGUAAUGAUGAACCCAUAUAUAACAAAUAAUUUGAAAAAUGAAAGCCUUACUGAUACACAAGCAAGUCAAAUGUGACAACGAAUCUUUGCUGCAGCGAAAAGGCAUUAAGUUAUUAGCCAAACAAGGGUUCCUCAACUGGCAGAGGGUUUCUCAUCAAACCUACUCAUUUUAAACUUAAUUCACUUAUUCCUUAAUGUUGGAAGUCCAAGCUCAACUAUGGUACCAAAGAAAUGGAAAAUGGAGCAACAAUCGAACCAAAAAGGAAACGAAACAGAAAGUUAAUUUUGGUCGUAAAACAGAAUGUUUCUCGUUGCAGUACCUUUUUUGCUGCAGCGAAAAUGGAUUCUCGCUGCAGUGAGUUUUCGGCCAGCCUUCCCCUUCAAAACCCGAGAGUUUAUUGCUACAGCGAAAAUGAAUCUCGUUGCAGCGAGAAACAGAGCACCAAGAAAAAAAGUUUCCAUUCACUCAAUAAAAGGCCAUCUUGCUAAACCAACAAAAUCAACAUAAAACACAUGAAAAUUCCCAAAGUGCAAUGUAUCAAAUUUCACAGAUAUGUCAAUCAUAUAUCAUAUUCAUGAGCUUUCAUUUCAUAAGUAUAGAUAUGCAUAAUUACAUAGAUAAACAUCAAUAUCAUCAUAAUCACACCCGGCUCAUGUACAUCCCCCCACAUCGUGCACAUAGCCGGCGCCAUCGUGUGCAUCCCCCCACAUCGUGCACAAUCAGUGCCAUCGUGUACAACCCCCCACAUCAUGCACACGGGCACUAUCAUCAUCCAUCUCUCACGCCACCAUCAACACCGGCAUGUGCAUCCCCCACAUCGUGCACACACACGGUUACAGUCAUUGUACACAAUAUCAAUCAUCAUGCACAACACACGUAUAUAUUUAUCAUCAUAAUGCAAUAGUGCAUGAAUCCAUAGCAAUCACAUAUCACCACAUAAAACCAUUUAGCAAAAGCUUGUUCCCAAGGCACUUGUUUUUCAUGAAAAACUUGAUAAUUCAUUCAAAUGUGUGGCAAAUACAUUAUAUUCCCAAAACAAGUUUUGAAGGUAGUUCACUCACCGGUAUAUUGUUGAGCCUUUAGCUGACUCUAAUUCCCCUAAUGAUCCAAUUGGAAAGAUGGGACUUCGUUAGAACCUAGAAUCACAUUAGCAUAAGCAAUAGGUCAAUUCACACAUUAUAAACCCUAAAAGAUAUCUCUUAGCUAGCUUUCAGUUGCCACAUUAAAUGGCUAUCUAUGUUCACUAUCUUAAUCACUACAAAAGGAAUGAACAUACUCAACAAUAAAAUAGCUCAUAAUCCCAAUUACUAGACAUUAUUCAUAGCUAAAAAUCAAGCUUAGUUCAUCACUUACCCUAGGGUUCCUUUGUAGUCAAAUUCUCUUCCAAUAGCUUCCAAACAAAUGGGGUAAUUCUCUCUUUCUCUCUCUAAAAUGCCCAACUAGUGAGAGAAAGUAUGGAAAUAAGAUUUUUCAAGGGUUUUAAGGCGAGAGAGUGGAAGAAUACAAGGGUUCUAGUCAUAAAGGCACAAAGAUAUGAAAACUAAGGCUAGAGAGAGAGAAUUAUGCAAGCUCCAUAUCAAGCGUCCAUGGAGGUUGGAAGCAACGUGAGAUGGAAGAAGAAGAAAAAGACAAAGCUGCUAGAAAAUGGGAGAAGAAGCUCCUCGAAACAAAAUAUUUAUAGCUCAAAUUUAUCCUUUCCUUUGAAAUUACCAAAUUACCCCUCCACAAAUUAGCUUCUUCUCCUCCAAUCUUUCAUGCACUCUUUUUGUUCUUUUUGACACUGGGAUAAGGUCCAUAAUGGUCUAGACAUGCUCAGGUUCAUGAAAACUUAAAAUUCUAACCCGAGGUGAAAAAUGACCAUUUUGCCUUUGUUGUGAAAAUUAUUGCCACUUCUAGUUUUCUUCAUGUUUUCAUCAUUACACAUCAUUUAUGAGGUCUUAUGCCUAUUUAGACCUUAAAAUAUCAUAAAACUUUCUUCUGGGAGCUUAUUAGAGAAAAUGACGAAACUACCCCUAGCCUUUAUUAUUACGUCUAUGCCUAGUUACGAGCCUGUAGAGGCCAAUGUCUCACAUAAAGUGUGGAUGCUGGAUUUGAUUUUUAUUUCAAGUGAAUUGGUCAGGAAAUGAUGAAUUAUGGUGAAAAAACAAGUAGGAAAAAUCAUAGUGUUGAUGCACCCACCAUGGUCGAAAUUCCCAAGAGAAAAUGUGAAGAUGAUUUUGCUAAAUUUUAUGCUAUUUGAUUUGUGUUUGAUGGUUUAGAGAAUUGGAAGAAAAAUGGAGUUAAUUGGAGAUGAAUUGGACUUAUUGGCCAAUUAAUCGAGUGAUAGAUUGAAUUAGGCCAAUACCGUUUUAUUUAGGUACACAAUUGAAUUUGUGUAGAACACCAUGUUUAGACGAUAAUCCGAACAAUUUGCAUUCCAUUUCAUUCAUCCAUAUAGUUUUAUAACAGUUUAGCACCAAUGUGGUAAAUUGCUUGAUUGUGUAUUAUGUCUAGGUGGUGAAUCCUCCGAUAAGGGCAAAGAAAUUGUACUCGAGGAUCGAUAGUCGGAGUACUCUAAAAAUUCAACUCCUGAAAUAGUGAGUAACCUUAUCAUCAUUUUAAAUAUCUAAAGUGGUCUUUUUAUUCAAUUUUGUGAAUUUUAUAGAAAAUGAGUUAAAUGGUAAAUCUUUGUGUUUUGUAACUAAAAUGUUAUUUAAUGAAAUGAUAUUAUAACAUCGUCUUGAAAUUGAAGGGUGGUUUGAAAAUAGAGUAAUUGGAGACUGUUUUCAUGUGUUGUAAAUUCAUGGUUCUAAUUGAUUAGCUUAUGGCAAUAUUUGCAUGGAUGGCUAAAUUGGAAUUUGUGCUGAAAAUGUAUAAACUGUUGUUUGCCUUAAUAUGCUGGAUAAUGAUAAAAUUGCCAUGUCAUGCUGUUGAAUUUUUAUUGUAUGGUGGGUUUAGCUUGUUGUAGUGGGCGGGUUUUGUUGACCAACCUAUUAGAGGGGCACGAAAUUCGGUUAUAUAAGUACCUUGGUCAGAGAGGCGCGUAGGGUAUGUCUUGAGGUAUGGUUAGAGUUCACAUCACACCAAACCACCUCGUGAUGAUGAACUCCGCUAACGCCAAGGAAUGGUUGUGUUUUUCAAGCUAAAAAAUAUGUUUAUGUGUAUACGAAACUUUUUAAUAGCCUUGGCGGACUCGGUUAAAUGCCUCGGCCAAGGUAUUCCUGAGAAUGAUUUUGGCAGGAGCCAAGCUUUUAAGAUACUCAUAAGCCAUGUUGAUUAUUUAAAUGAAAUGAAUAUUUAUGUUAUGAAUUACAUAUUGAGAUGGAAUAUUUUAAUCGUCUCCAUUUACACGACUUUAUAUAUUUUGAAUGGUGUUUGUUUACUCACUGGGAUUAUAUAAUCUCACCACCCUCCUUUCCACCCAUUUCAGGCUCAGAAUAAGCUGUAGAUAGCAGAUAUCGUCGAAGGCUACAGUUGGCUUUACUUCCUUAAAAAUCGUAGGUUCACAGCCUUCGUUCACUUUUGUCAUUUGAAGGCCCAUGUGUCACUGUAAAUUAAAUUUUAUACUUUGGUUAUCUGUAUUACAGUAUGUAUGAAUUUAUUUAGAUUUUACGCUAUAAAAAUUAUUUACCAGUAAC